RNAcentral lists this ribosomal RNA (259 nucleotides) under uncultured prokaryote. RNAcentral's name for it is "partial 16S ribosomal RNA". It matches the Rfam family "Bacterial small subunit ribosomal RNA", at positions 524 to 782 of the family's 1533-position model. The record is from RNAcentral.
UACGUAGGUGGCAAGCGUUGUCCGGAUUUAUUGGGCGUAAAGGGAGCGCAGGCGGUGACUUAAGUCUGAUGUGAAAGCCCACGGCUCAACCGUGGAAGGUCAUUGGAAACUGGGUCACUUGAAUAUAGAAGAGGAAAGUGGAAUUCCAUGUGUAGCGGUGAAAUGCGUAGAUAUAUGGAGGAACACCAGUGGCGAAGGAGACUUUCUGGUCUAUUAUUGACGCUGAGGCUCGAAAGCAUGGGUAGCAAACAGGAUUAGA